RNAcentral lists this ribosomal RNA (432 nucleotides) under Lophophelma iterans. RNAcentral describes it as "partial 28S ribosomal RNA". Lineage: Eukaryota; Metazoa; Arthropoda; Insecta; Lepidoptera; Geometridae. The record is from RNAcentral.
CGUGAAACCGUCCAGGGGUAAACCUGCGAAACUCGAAAGAACGAACGGAGAGAUUCAUCGUCAUUCCUCGGCGCACGUGCGUCGAUACCGAUGGUCGCCGGUCUCGAUCGGCGGUCACGUGUCGCGCACGUAGCGCUCCGGGGACGGCGUGCACUUCUCUCUCAGUAAUACAUCGCGACCCGUUCGACGUCGGUCUAAGUGCCCUCCGGGAGUCUGCGCUUCCUCGCGUCGCGCAGACCGAGAGGUGUCUCACCGACCGGCGUCACAUACAAACCGGACGGUAUACUAUACGAAACGCGUACGCGCUAGCGCGCGUCCGGCCCGACGCAAGGCGUGCGUCGUAUCCCUCCCCCUGCCCGAGUGCGGGGGAGGGUGCGGCGCGCCUGUCGUCGCAGCCGUGCUGUCUCGGACUGUGCGCGUAUCCGUCUGCGA